Molecule: ribosomal RNA, 253 nt
Filed under: uncultured bacterium
Lineage: Bacteria
Description: partial 16S ribosomal RNA
Rfam family: Bacterial small subunit ribosomal RNA
Source: RNAcentral
UACGAAGGGGGCUAGCGUUGCUCGGAAUUACUGGGCGUAAAGCGCACGUAGGCGGCUUUCUAAGUCGGGGGUGAAAUCCUGGAGCUCAACUCCAGAACUGCCUUCGAUACUGGAGAGCUUGAGUCCGGGAGAGGUGAGUGGAACUGCGAGUGUAGAGGUGAAAUUCGUAGAUAUUCGCAAGAACACCAGUGGCGUAGGCGGCUCACUGGCCCGGUACUGACGCUGAGGUGCGAAAGCGUGGGUAGCAAACAGG